AACUUUCAGCAACGGAUCUCUUGGCUCUCGCAUCGAUGAAGAACGCAGCGAAAUGCGAUAAGUAAUGUGAAUUGCAGAAUUCAGUGAAUCAUCGAAUCUUUGAACGCACCUUGCGCUCCUUGGUAUUCCGAGGAGCAUGCCUGUUUGAGUGUCAUUAAAUUCUCAACCUUCCAACUUU
RNAcentral lists this ribosomal RNA (178 nucleotides) under Laccaria bicolor. RNAcentral describes it as "5.8S ribosomal RNA". The stretch from base 1 to 154 matches the Rfam family "5.8S ribosomal RNA". From Rfam's summary of the family: 5.8S ribosomal RNA (5.8S rRNA) is a component of the large subunit of the eukaryotic ribosome. It is transcribed by RNA polymerase I as part of the 45S precursor that also contains 18S and 28S rRNA. The record is from RNAcentral. Lineage: Eukaryota; Fungi; Basidiomycota; Agaricomycetes; Agaricales; Hydnangiaceae.